RNAcentral lists this ribosomal RNA (207 nucleotides) under uncultured bacterium. RNAcentral's name for it is "partial 16S ribosomal RNA". It matches the Rfam family "Bacterial small subunit ribosomal RNA", at positions 568 to 774 of the family's 1533-position model. The record is from RNAcentral. RNAcentral also lists the same sequence under 1 other name.
CUCGUAGGCGGUUUGUUGCGUCGGCUGUGAAAACCUGAGGCUCAACCUCAGGCCUGCAGUCGAUACGAGCAGACUAGAGUGUUGCAGGGGAGACUGGAAUUCCUGGUGUAGCGGUGAAAUGCGCAGAUAUCAGGAGGAACACCGGUGGCGAAGGCGGGUCUCUGGGCAACAACUGACGCUGAGGAGCGAAAGCGUGGGGAGCGAACA